CCUACGGGAGGCAGCAGUGAGGAAUUUUGGUCAAUGGACGAGAGUCUGAACCAGCCAAGUAGCGUGAAGGAUGACUGCCCUAUGGGUUGUAAACUUCUUUUAUAUGGGAAUAAAAUGUUCCACGUGUGGGAUUUUGUAUGUACCAUAUGAAUAAGGAUCGGCUAACUCCGUGCCAGCAGCCGCGGUAAUACGGAGGAUCCGAGCGUUAUCCGGAUUUAUUGGGUUGAAAGGGAGCGUAGGUGGAUUGUUAAGUCAGUUGUGAAAGUUUGCGGCUCAACCGGAAAAUUGCAGUUGAAACUGGCAGUCUUGAGUACAGUAGAGGUGGGCGGAAUUCGUGGUGUAGCGGUGAAAUGCUUAGAUAUCACGAAGAACUCCGAUUGCGAAGGCAGUUCACUGGACUGCAACUGACACUGAGGCUCGAAAGUGUGGGUAUCAAACAGGAUUAGAUACCCUUGUAGUC
Molecule: ribosomal RNA, 460 nt
Filed under: uncultured bacterium
Lineage: Bacteria
Description: partial 16S ribosomal RNA
Rfam family: Bacterial small subunit ribosomal RNA
Source: RNAcentral